This is a long non-coding RNA of Oncorhynchus mykiss (rainbow trout), 2921 nucleotides long. NCBI's taxonomy places the organism in Eukaryota, Metazoa, Chordata, Actinopteri, Salmoniformes, Salmonidae. The record is from Ensembl.
AUUUAGUAUUUGUCAUGUUUUUGACAUUUGUAAUUGUUUUUACAUGGUGCCAAAGUCAAAGGACAGCAUUUCCACCACAAUUCAAGAAUGAAUCACCACAAUAACUAAAUUGUUAAGCAUUUGAACUAUGUGGAAAUGGAACCGUAAUACCAAUUAAUAGAUCAGACCUGUAGAGAACUUCUCCUAAACAAUAAUGUAUGUUGCUUCCCUUGUGUUUUUCAUACUGCAGACUUCACAGCCAAGACAGAAACGAUACUGCAUCAUAUUGAGGUUGUUGUACCGUAUCUAAGAACAGUACUGUAUGUUCAUUCAUCUUGACACCAUUGAACUAUUGAAACCUGCUGACACAGUGCAUCUAUUCUACAGUGCAUCUAUGCCACAGUGCAUCUAUUCUACAGUGCAUCUAUUCUAGUGUAUCUAUUCUACAGUGUAUCUAUUCUACAGUGCGUCUAUUCUACAGUGCAUCUAUUCUACAGUGUAUCUAUUCUACAGUGCAUCUAUUCUACAGUGCAUCUCUGCCACAGUGCAUCUAUUCUACAGUGCAUCUAUUCUACAGUGCAUCUAUUCUACAGUGUAUCUAUUCUACAGUGCAUCUCUGCCACAGUGCAUCUAUUCUACAGUGCAUCUAUUCUACAGUGCAUCUAUUCUACAGUGCAUCUAUUCUACAGUGCAUCUAUUCUACAGUGCAUCUAUUCAAGAGUGCAUCUCUGCCACAGUGCAUCUAUUCUACAGUGCAUCUAUUCUACAGUGCAUCUAUUCUACAGUGCAUCUAUUCUACAGUGUAUCUAUUCUACAGUGUAUCUAUUCUACAGUGCAUCUAUUCUACAGUGUAUCUAUUCUACAGUGCAUCUAUUCUACAGUGCAUCUAUUCUACAGUGCAUCUAUUCUACAGUGUAUCUAUUCUACAGUGUAUCUAUUCUACAGUGCAUCUAUUCUACAGUGUAUCUAUUCUACAGUGCAUCUAUUCUACAGUGCAUCUAUUCUACAGUGCAUCUAUUCUACAGUGUAUCUAUUCUACAGUGUAUCUAUUCUACAGUGCAUCUAUUCUACAGUGCAUCUAUUCUAGUGUAUCUAUUCUACAGUGCAUCUAUUCUACAGUGCAUCUAUUCUACAGUGUAUCUAUUCUACAGUGCAUCUAUUCUACAGUGCAUCUAUUCUACAGUGCAUCUAUUCAAGAGUGCAUCUCUGCCACAGUGCAUCUAUUCUACAGUGCAUCUAUUCUACAGUGCAUCUCUGCCACAGUGCAUCUAUUCUACAGUGCAUCUAUUCUACAGUGCAUCUAUUCUACAGUGUAUCUAUGCCACAGUGCAUCUAUUCUACAGUGCAUCUAUUCUACAGUGCAUCUAUUCUACAGUGCAUCUAUUCUACAGUGCAUCUAUUCUACAGUGUAUCUAUUCUACAGUGCAUCUAUUCUACAGUGCAUCUAUUCUACAGUGCAUCUAUUCUACAGUGCAUCUAUUCUACAGUGCAUCGAUUCUACAGUGUAUCUAUUCUACAGUGCAUCUAUUCUACAGUGCAUCUAUUCUACAGUGCAUCUAUUCUACAGUGCAUCUAUUCUACACUGCACAGAUCAGCUGGAGAAGUCGAGCUGUUGGCCGUGAGGCUAAAUCAUCAGCUGACAUUUAAUUAAUCUAACGAGAGUUAGGCUGUCGGCAAAACAUCACAAUAUGUACAACAGAACCGUGAUAUUCAGUGUGAUCCCAAAACAUCUCCUUCACCAAAUCUAGUGCCUAGGGCUCUGUUCCAGUUCGUUGGAAAAUUAUGCUCCCCUCACGUCCAAUAUUAAACUGCUGCAUGCUUGAAGCAGACGGAUGUAAAACUCAUCAUACCGGCUGUACUUCUGCCUGCUUGAACGGCAAAUAGCUCCGAUACACUUCAAAACAUCAAAUUACUCCGGGAAUCGAUAGAACGUCGCUCAAAGGAUGCACACAUUCGAUAUAACACUCGAAAUGGGUGAAAAGCACAGUAAAUGUCAAAUGCACAUCAAAUCAACAGUGUAGUGUUUGGAUUCAGUCUUGUGUUAGGUGAACUGUUGUGUCCUCACCUUUAGUCUAUUAAUGUUCCCAUAAUCUUCAAACUGUUCCCUUUUCAUUGUUACCAUGGUUAUGCAUAUGCUUUCCAUAUUUAUUCUGUAAGAAACAUUUCAAUGUAGACCUAUCCAUAUAGGCCAAUUCCCACGAGUGCAAGGGUUUAGUUGAUUGUUAUACUGUACCUUAGAGAACUUUGAUAUGAAUGCAGCAUGAGACUAGAUGCUCUACCUGGUGGUAACGAGAUGAGGACAAACACGUUGAAACAAAACAGAGAAGUGUCAUCUUGUUUCUGUUCAGGGACCAGGAAGCAGGUUGUCUAUGCCUUUUAAAACUGCAAUAUCCUACGAGCUAAAACCUAAAGGCAAUUUACUGCAAAACAGUUUAAGGUGAUUUUUAUAUAUAGCCUUACAUGACAACCCACCAUCACUUAGUUCCCAAAGUCAGACAAGAUAUUACCCUACAGACCAGACCAUUAAAGUCUCACUUCAAAUCUCCCUGAAAAGACUUAACAGAUUUCACAGAUUUACUGUGAAAAGCAACGCUCAGGGAUGAAAACCAGUGCUUGGGGCGAUGCUUUAGGCUACAAUAUAUCAACACAUAAAGGCCCUUAGGAAAACUGAUGGAAGAAGACAAGAACACAAGAGGGGAGAGAGAGAGAUGGCGAGAGAGAGCUAUGGAGAGAGAUGGUGAGAGAGAUGGAGAGAGAGAGAUGGAGAGCUAGAGAGAGAGAGAGAGACAGUGGUUAUGGUCAUUGGGUCCCAUUAUGAUGUCUUUCCUGUUACCUUGGAGAUUAUCAUUUGCCAUGUAAUGUACUAAUUUUGCCAGUGGGGGGCGCUGUUUCUCUUCUCUAAACGUACAGUGCCUUCAGAAAGUAUUCAUACCCCUUUAUUC